UGGUUCAGUUGGUAGAGCAUGGUGUUUGCAACGCCAGGGUUGUGGGUUCAAUUCCCAC
Molecule: transfer RNA, 58 nt
Filed under: Salmo salar (Atlantic salmon)
Lineage: Eukaryota; Metazoa; Chordata; Actinopteri; Salmoniformes; Salmonidae
Also listed under: 1 other name
Rfam family: tRNA
About the family: Transfer RNA (tRNA) molecules are approximately 80 nucleotides in length.
Source: Rfam by way of RNAcentral